GAAUGUGAGGGUGAACUGGAUCUGGCUGCCCAGCCGAAUGUCCCCUUCUCCUUCACCCCUCCAUGUUCAUCGCUCCCCAAGCUGUGAAGCUGUGGUCCAAGAGAGCGACUACCCCUGAUAGGUAGAGGAGGACUGUUUCUUGGUUAGGAGUAUACCCCCUGAUAGAACCUCCAAAAGAGCUCUCAAAAUACUUUGAAAUCUCCAGCCUCAAAUGCUUGCAGUUGAGGAAAGAACCUUGGCUGAAGGUUGAAUUCC
This 255-nucleotide small nuclear RNA is filed under the name Heterocephalus glaber (naked mole-rat). Its description in RNAcentral is "7SK RNA". It matches the Rfam family "7SK RNA". Rfam says of the family: 7SK was discovered as an abundant small nuclear RNA in the mid-70s but a possible function has only recently been suggested. Two independent studies have found that 7SK RNA binds the CDK9/cyclin T complex (known as elongation factor P-TEFb). Lineage: Eukaryota; Metazoa; Chordata; Mammalia; Rodentia; Bathyergidae. The record is from Rfam by way of RNAcentral.